CAACCUUAUGACUCCGUUUAAUCAUAAUUACUUCCUUAGAGGCCCCAUCUUCAAAAACAGCCACAUUUGGAGGUUAGGGCUUUAAUAUAUGAAUUUGGGGAGGGGGUUUGGACACAAACGUUUGGUCCAUUACAUUCAACUAGGAGUGGCUGCUGGAAGAACUGUAUUGAUAACAAUUCUCAGGUCCCUCCCAGACUGCAUGAUAAAAAGCGCAAUGCUUGAUUAGUGUUUCUGCCUUGGACUUAGAAAGGAGAGAUUGGGGUGGCUCACAUACCAGAUGUUUUCUUCCCCUGUUUUAUGUGCUUGUCUUUGCCAGCCUCUCUCUUGGCCCCAGCGCAAUCCCUGACACAUACUAGCCCCUUGACGCAUUUUCAAUGAAUGAAUCAGCAAGUGAGUAAUGGUAUCUCAAAGCCCGUUUCAGAUGGACGAUUCCCCGGAGCUUCACAGACGCUGUGAGGGACACCGUCUCGCACAGUGCCUGCCGGGAGAGAAGGGAGCAGAGCCCAGCUCCGCUCACGGCCCAGCAUUCAACCAGGCCUCGCCCCCACUGAGUUUCCCAAGGUUGGAUAAAGCCCGUGGUCCUUUCCCAGGACAGUGGCAGGCCUUCCCAGGAGAACCACCGGAGGCCGCUGACCUUUCCAUUUCCUCACCGUCUUCCUGGAGGUCCCGCCAGUCCAGCCAAGGCCGUUGAGCCCUGGGAGUGGAGUCACACAGAGGUGAGGACAACCCCCGCGCUGACUAUGCUCUGCCGAAACUGGCCUCCCUGCCGACGGCCCGGUGUCCUCCGAAGGACCCUGGGACGUGGCCAGUCUACACGCAAACUCACCCUGUGACCAGCCCUAGAUCCAUGAGAAGAACCCCAGGGGUUCACUCUCUACGAGGCUCCUCCUCCCCAACGACGUUGUUGAAUGUUUAGUGCGUGGUAACAUCGACUCUUUUUACCUCUGCUUUUGCCUGUUAGGUGCCGUCUACAGGGGGCUCCCUGCGUGAUCGGACCUCGACGCCUCUCUCCCUCUGGCCCGAUUCACAGUGUAGUCUUCCCCGCGGGCCUCCUUUGGCCACACUAACUUUCCUGGUACCAGCCUUUUCCUGACUCUGGGUUUGGCCGUUGCAUUUUCCUUCACCCCAGCUCUUCACCUGAUAAUAAUCUGCUCAUUCUUCAGGCCUCAGCAUCAAAUGCUCUCUUCCAGGGAAAGCCUUCCAGAACUUUGACAGUGAGCUGUGGAACAACCUAGAGGAGAGAGAGACCAGAGCCAGGCAUGUCUGUCAGAGGCUAAGACCUGAUGGCAAAGCCCAAAGUGAGAUGUGCAUAAGCCAGACUGGAAGAGGAAAGGAGAAGACAGAUUCUGGUGACCAAGCCAAUGACUUUGGGAGUGAAAAACGCACAGAAGUUGGCAAUUCAAAGAUACCCUCUGUUUACCACCGUAGGAUGCUCAGUUUCAGGCAUCUGUGUCCUGGGAAAGACAGAGGCGCUAACUGAAUUGGUAGCAAAUUUCUAACUCUUUUAUGUGGGUCACGUUCUGCCAGGAAAAUGGAGAGUUUCUUACAAGAGGACCAUUUCUUCUCCUUGCAUAUGUAUUACUUUUUACUUCUAGCAGAAUCUGGCUUUCUCAGCUCUGGACAUCUUAUUUAUCAUGCUUAUCUCAGCGCUCUGGCUCUUCAUCUGCGCUCGGCCGGAGCCGGAGUGGGAG
Ursus americanus (American black bear) is the source of this 1691-nucleotide long non-coding RNA. Lineage: Eukaryota; Metazoa; Chordata; Mammalia; Carnivora; Ursidae. The record is from Ensembl.